RNAcentral lists this transfer RNA (84 nucleotides) under Saprospiraceae bacterium. RNAcentral describes it as "tRNA-Leu". It matches the Rfam family "tRNA". Rfam says of the family: Transfer RNA (tRNA) molecules are approximately 80 nucleotides in length. Their secondary structure includes four short double-helical elements and three loops (D, anti-codon, and T loops). Lineage: Bacteria; Pseudomonadati; Bacteroidota; Saprospiria; Saprospirales; Saprospiraceae. RNAcentral also lists the same sequence under 1 other name. The record is from RNAcentral.
GCCCGGGUGGUGGAAUGGUAGACACGCAGGACUUAAAAUCCUGUGACCGUUGAGGUCGUACGGGUUCGAGUCCCGUCCCGGGCA